GUGUAACGGUGGAAUGUGUAGAUAUCGGGAAGAACACCAAUGGCGAAGGCAGGUCUCUGGGCCGUCACUGACGCUGAGGAGCGAAAGCGUGGGGAGCGAACAGGAUUAGAUACCCUGGUAGUCCACGCCGUAAACGGUGGAUGCUGGAUGUGGGGCCCUUUCCACGGGUUCCGUGUCGGAGCUAACGCGUUAAGCAUCCCGCCUGGGGAGUACGGCCGCAAGGCUAAAACUCAAAGAAAUUGACGGGGGCCCGCACAAGCGGCGGAGCAUGCGGAUUAAUUCGAUGCAACGCGAAGAACCUUACCUGGGCUUGACAUGUUCUCGACCGCCUCAGAGAUGGGGCUUCCCUUCGGGGCGGGAUCACAGGUGGUGCAUGGUUGUCGUCAGCUCGUGUCGUGAGAUGUUGGGUUAAGUCCCGCAACGAGCGCAACCCUCGCCUUGUGUUGCCAGCGGGUCAUGCCGGGAACUCACAAGGGACCGCCGGGGUUAACUCGGAGGAAGGUGGGGAUGACGUCAAAUCAUCAUGCCCCUUACGUCCAGGGCUUCACGCAUGCUACAAUGGCCGGCACAGCGGGAUGCGAUGGCGCGAGCCGGAGCGGAUCCUGUAAAACCGGUCUCAGUUCGGAUCGGAGCCUGCAACCCGGCUCCGUGAAGGUGGAGUCGCUAGUAAUCGCGGAUCAGCAACGCCGCGGUGAAUGCGUUCCCGGGCCUUGUACACACCGCCCGUCAAGUCAUGAAAGUGGGCAACACCCGAAGCCGAUGGCCCAUCCCUCGUGGGGGGAGUCGUCGAAGGUGGGGCUCGCGAUUGGGACUAAGUCGUAACAAGGUAACCGUA
This 835-nucleotide ribosomal RNA is filed under the name uncultured bacterium. RNAcentral describes it as "bacterial SSU rRNA". It matches the Rfam family "Bacterial small subunit ribosomal RNA", at positions 673 to 1504 of the family's 1533-position model. The record is from RNAcentral.